Molecule: long non-coding RNA, 115 nt
Organism: Notothenia coriiceps (black rockcod)
Lineage: Eukaryota; Metazoa; Chordata; Actinopteri; Perciformes; Nototheniidae
Exons: 3
Source: RefSeq, a predicted model, not a curated record
UGCAAGCGAAGGGAUUCAACACAUGGUUUAACUUGGUGAAGCUGGUGCAUAGCAGUGAGACUCCUCAAUAUUCAAGGUUGAAGCUGGUGCAUAGCAGUGAGACUCAAGAUUCAAG